GACGAACGCUGGCGGCGUGCUUAACACAUGCAAGUCGAACGGAAAGGCCCCCUUGUGGGGUACUCGAGUGGCGAACGGGUGAGUAACACGUGAGUAACCUACCCUUGACUUUGGGAUAACUUCAGGAAACUGGGGCUAAUACCGGAUAGGAGCUCCUGCUGCAUGGUGGGGGUUGGAAAGUUUCGGCGGUUGGGGAUGGACUCGCGGCUUAUCAGCUUGUUGGUGGGGUAGUGGCUCACCAAGGCUUUGACGGGUAGCCGGCCUGAGAGGGUGACCGGCCACAUUGGGACUGAGAUACGGCCCAGACUCCUACGGGAGGCAGAAGUGGGGAAUAUUGCACAGUGGGCGGAAGCGUGAUGCAGCAACGCCGCGUGCGGGAUGACGGCCUUCGGGUUGUAAACCGCUUUCGCCUGUGACGAAGCGUGAGUGACGGUAAUGGGUAAAGAAGCACCGGCUAACUACGUG
Molecule: ribosomal RNA, 465 nt
Filed under: uncultured bacterium
Lineage: Bacteria
Description: partial 16S ribosomal RNA
Rfam family: Bacterial small subunit ribosomal RNA
Source: RNAcentral